AUGCGUCCACUAGCAAGCAAAUUGGUUGAAGACACUGAUUUGUCAUAUUACCAGUCGAUUUAUGACGCCAACAACAAAUUGGUGAACACACCAACUUAUGAUGUGCAAAACCUUAUCCCGCCAAUCCGUAAGCAUACCUACGCCCCUGAUGUUGAACCGUCCACCCUUAUAAGUGAUGAAGCUGUCUUCCAAGCCUUAACUGGGAUUGACUGGACAACCAUUGACUUCCAGCCGCUGGGUGGAGAGGAGGAGGAUGAACCGGCGCAGGAUGAUCCGCAACCUUCAAGUCAGCCUGCCGAAAAUUAA
This 306-nucleotide ribosomal RNA is filed under the name Triticum aestivum (bread wheat). Its description in RNAcentral is "partial small subunit ribosomal RNA". Lineage: Eukaryota; Viridiplantae; Streptophyta; Magnoliopsida; Poales; Poaceae. The record is from RNAcentral.